Molecule: ribosomal RNA, 816 nt
Filed under: uncultured bacterium
Lineage: Bacteria
Description: bacterial SSU rRNA
Rfam family: Bacterial small subunit ribosomal RNA
Source: RNAcentral
AGUUUGAUCCUGGCUCAGAACGAACGCUGGCGGCGUGGAUUAGGCAUGCAAGUCGUGCGUGAAAGUGGUAGCAAUACUGCGAGUAAAGCGGCGAACUGGUGAGUACAAGGUGAAUAACGUGCCCACGGGUGGGGAAUAACCCGCCGAAAGGCGGGCUAAUACCGCAUGGUCUCUCCGGGCACCAAGCCCGGCGAGUAAAGCAGCAAUGCGCCCGAGGAUCGGUUCACCUCCCAUUAGCUAGUUGGUGGGGUAAUGGCCUACCAAGGCUACGAUGGGUAGCUGGUCUGAGAGGAUGGUCAGCCACACUGGGACUGAGAUACGGCCCAGACUCCUACGGGGGGCAGCAGUCUAGAGGCUUCGUCAAUGCCCGAAAGGGUGAACGAGCGACGCCGCGUGCGGGAUGAAGGCCUUCGGGUUGUAAACCGCUUUUGUUCGGGAAGAAUACCUGGGUCGCGCACCCGGGGGUGACGGUACCGGACGAAUAAGCCUCGGCUAACUCCGUGCCAGCAGCCGCGGUAAGACGGAGGAGGCAAGCGUUGUUCGGAAUUAUUGGGCGUAAAGGGCUCGUAGGCGGAUCGGCAAGUCUGACGUGAAAUCUCCACCGCUCACCGGGGAGAGGUCGUUGGAUACUACCGAUCUGGAGUUUGGCAGAGGGUCGUGGAAUUCCGGGUGUAGCGGUGGAAUGCGUAGAUAUCCGGAAGAACACCGGUGGCGAAGGCGGCGACCUGGGCCAAAACUGACGCUGAGGAGCGAAAGCCAGGGGAGCAAACGGGAUUAGAUACCCCGGUAGUCCUGGCUGUAAACGGUGGAUACUAG